Molecule: ribosomal RNA, 319 nt
Filed under: uncultured eukaryote
Lineage: Eukaryota
Description: partial 18S ribosomal RNA
Rfam family: Eukaryotic small subunit ribosomal RNA
Source: RNAcentral
CCCUUAGAUGUUCUGGGCAGCACGCGCGCUACAAUGGUCUUCGCAAACGGAUGCAUUCUCGAAGGAGAAUGCCAAUCUUGGAAUCUAUGCCUUGGUCGGGACAGUUGCUUGCAAUUUUUCGACUCGAACCAGGAAUUCCUUGUCAUCGUGAUUCAUCACAUCACGAUGAAUACGUCCCUGCCCUUUGUACACACCGCCCGUCGCUCCUACCGAUCGAAGAGUUAGGUGAAUUGUUUUGAUCGAUAAGAUUUGACUAUGGUCAACUCUCGUUGUGAAAUUCUGUGAAUCUGACUGUUUAGAGGAAGGAAAAGUCGUAACA